ACCCCCCAGAGCCCUUACCCUUCUGAUCCAAACUUUGAUCUGAGUGGCUAUAAAAAGAAGGGAAAGGGAAAACUGAGACGGACUGAGAGUCUCUUGUGACAUACAAGC
Molecule: small nucleolar RNA, 108 nt
Filed under: Echinops telfairi (small Madagascar hedgehog)
Lineage: Eukaryota; Metazoa; Chordata; Mammalia; Afrosoricida; Tenrecidae
Description: Small nucleolar RNA SNORA61 (ENSETEG00000025555.1)
Source: RNAcentral